RNAcentral lists this ribosomal RNA (253 nucleotides) under uncultured bacterium. Its description in RNAcentral is "partial 16S ribosomal RNA". It matches the Rfam family "Bacterial small subunit ribosomal RNA", at positions 524 to 776 of the family's 1533-position model. The record is from RNAcentral.
UACGAAGGGGACUAGCGUUGUUCGGAAUUACUGGGCGUAAAGCGCGCGUAGGCGGCUUUGCAAGUCGGGUGUGAAAUCCCCAGGCUUAACCUGGGAACUGCAUUCGAGACUGCAUUGCUAGAGUAUGGGAGAGGGAAGUGGAAUUUCCGGUGUAGCGGUGAAAUGCGUAGAUAUCGGAAGGAACAUCAGUGGCGAAAGCGACUUCCUGGACCAAUACUGACGCUCAUGUGCGAAAGCGUGGGGAGCAAACAGG